UCGUGUAUAUAUUGUCAGAUUUUAACUCCAAAAAAUAUUACUGUUAAACAAUCAAAAUUUGUCUCAAUCAAUACAUAAUUUGUGAUAAGUAAUGUGGUUAAAAUAAAAUGUUUACAAAACCAACACAUAAUUGUGGUCAUAGAGUAAAUAGAUAGUUAUAAAUUGAUUUUUUUUUCUUUUUUCAUUUUUAAUUGAGUAAUGUUUUAUAAGAAGUAAUAUUUGAACUCUAAAGUUUGGUCUUCCGUUGUAAUUACUCUCUCCAUCCUGAGAAGGAUGACUAAAAUUAUAAUUAUUUUUGUUCUUAAAAAAAUGGGAUAAAAUACAUAAAAUGAACGGUAUAAUUUAGUAUGGUCCGUUAGUAUAUAUAAAAAAAAUUACUCAUCGUUUUAUGAAUCUCGUGGGACUACUUAGGAAAAUUUUGAAACUUUAUUUAUCGUUUUUCCUCUACUUUUAUCUUUCUUAAGAUUGAGAGAGGCAAUUGAAGACUUUUACUCUUAAGCGCAGCAGAAGCAUAAUACAUACAAGAUGGCUUCUCUCAAUUCAUGUAAGUACCUAAUUGAUUUUAUUCUAUGUAAUAGCACGUUCCAGUAUAAUUUAUUUAACAUUUGGUAUCAGAGAUGUGGUUACGCUAUUGCAUGAAAUAAAUUAAUUAUGUUGUUAUGCGAGAAUUUUUUUCUUUAAUUCUACAUAUUCUCUUUAUUGGUAUAAUAUAGAACUAAUUAGUAUGUUAAGGAAUUUUUGAAUGGAAAUAAAUUUUUACGAAAAGGAAUUUGUAAUCUGAUUCGUAAACUGAUUAUGAUUCCUCGUGGCUUUCGGAAAUUAACAAUUAUGUUUCUGUUGCGCUGUAUUCAUGAAAUCAAACGUGAAUACUUAUGAUACUAUUUUGUUAGAAUAUACAAAUUAUUGUCUCGAUAUACAUGACUGUAUAUACAUCAAGUAUUAUUUAUAUAUGUUGAACAUGAAUUCAUG
RNAcentral lists this long non-coding RNA (969 nucleotides) under Panax ginseng (ginseng). Its description in RNAcentral is "long non-coding RNA (PGIN_LNC012925)". The record is from RNAcentral. Lineage: Eukaryota; Viridiplantae; Streptophyta; Magnoliopsida; Apiales; Araliaceae.